UUCGAGUGGCGGACGGGUGAGUAACGCGUGGGUAACCUGCCUUACACAGGGGGAUAACACCUGGAAACAGGUGCUAAUACCGCAUAAGCGCACAGGGCCGCAUGGCCCGGUGUGAAAAACUCCGGUGGUGUAAGAUGGACCCGCGUCUGAUUAGCUUGUUGGCGGGGUAGGGGCCCACCAAGGCGGCGAUCAGUAGCCGGCCUGAGAGGGUGGACGGCCACAUUGGGACUGAGACACGGCCCAAACUCCUACGGGAGGCAGCAG
This 264-nucleotide ribosomal RNA is filed under the name uncultured bacterium. RNAcentral's name for it is "partial 16S ribosomal RNA". It matches the Rfam family "Bacterial small subunit ribosomal RNA", at positions 90 to 354 of the family's 1533-position model. The record is from RNAcentral.